GGGACAGCCUCGGGAAACCGUGGGUAAUACCGGAUACUCCGGGACGGCCGCAUGGCCGGCCCGGGAAAGCCCAGACGGGAGGGGAUGGGCCCGCGGCCUGUUAGCUAGUCGGCGGGGUAACGGCCCACCGAGGCGAUUAUGGGUAGCCGGGUUGAGAGACCGACCGGCCAGAUUGGGACUGAGACACGGCCCAGACUCCUACGGGAGGCAGCAGUGGGGAAUCUUGCGCAAUGGGCGGAAGCCUGACGCAGCGACGCCGCGUGCGGGACGAAGGCCUUCGGGUCGUAAACCGCUUUCAGCAGGGACGAGGCCCUCACGGUGACGGUACCUGCAGAAGAAGCCCCGGCUAACUACGUGCCAGCAGCCGCGGUAAUACGUAGGGGGCGAGCGUUAUCCGGAUUCAUUGGGCGUAAAGCGCGCGUAGGCGGCCUGUUAGGUCGGGGGUCAAAUACCGGGGCUCAACCCCGGUCCGCCCCCGAUACCGGCAGGCUUGAGUCUGGUAGGGGAAGGCGGAAUUCCCAGUGUAGCGGUGGAAUGCGCAGAUAUUGGGAAGAACACCGGCGGCGAAGGCGGCCUUCUGGGCCACGACUGACGCUGAGGCGCGAAAGCUAGGGGAGCGAACAGGAUUAGAUACCCUGGUAGUCCUAGCCGUAAACGAUGGACGCUAGGUGUGGGGG
RNAcentral lists this ribosomal RNA (677 nucleotides) under uncultured bacterium. Its description in RNAcentral is "bacterial SSU rRNA". It matches the Rfam family "Bacterial small subunit ribosomal RNA", at positions 140 to 828 of the family's 1533-position model. The record is from RNAcentral.